CUCAUCUCCCUCAGCUAGCUCGACCGCCUCUCUCUGGUCUCUAGCGCUGUGGAGCUCCUUCCUACGUGCGCUAGCCGCCAGGUCGUCUUCAACCUCCAUCCGUGGAGCUCGCCUCUGCCAUGGCCGCCCUCUGCCCUCCUCCCUCAAGCCCUAGCUGAGUUUUUCCAUGGUGCCCUGGAUGCCAGCCCCUUUACUCGAUGCCCCUGCUAGGUUCCUGGCAUGUUCGCCCAGACCGAUGCCUAGCUCCCAUGGCCGCCCUGGAUCUCCAUGGUUGAGUUUUCUCCCUGCAGGAUCCCCCCAAAUAGCGCCUGGUCUUUUUCCCUUGGUCGAAAACACCUCUGGUGCUGCCCCUCCCUGGAACUCGCCUCCCGCCUCUGCUUGUCCAUUUCCUGCAGCAACCUGAUGAUCCCUUUUCCUUUCCUCCCAUGUUGAAGCACUUAACCCCCCUCUGUUGAUGGUCGACGUCUCUUCAUCCAUGGUACCUAGGUCUCCAUCCCCAUGCCCCUGCAGCUUGUUCUCAAGCCGCCAACCAUGGUGCGUUGUCCGCCUCGGAGAAACUUCCGGUGUUGGAGGGCGAAGAGCUCGAAGUUCUAAAGGUAACGCCCGCCGGGUGCUUGGUGGAACGUCUCAACCGGAGGUUGUUGUCGAUCUCUCGGAUUCGAGGCGAUUUAGUUGUGGUACGUUAAUUGAUCACGUGAUGUGGAAGACAAUAGUUGGAUUAAUCUCAAAGUGAUGCUGAUGAAUAAACCAGAGAAGUGGAUGAUUUGAUCAUGUACCAGGAUGGGAGAUGCUCACCAAGUGAUCGUCAUCUAACAACACUGACUUAGUGUUAUCCCAGGUUGUAAUUUUUGUUCUGUUGUGGAUGGUGCUAAGUGUCGGUGGGCUCGGCCUUCUUAUAUAAGUAUAUCCCUUCUAUAGUUUCUUUAAUGAGGAUUGUCACUUAAGCUAGCAUGUAUUUCAAAUUUACAAAUAUUCUAUAACAUUUUAAAGUGUAAUUCUUUUGAAACACUUUCUUUUGUAAUCACUCCGAUGAGGUAUAAUAAAAUCUUGAUAAACUUGUAAUCA
Long non-coding RNA from Zea mays, 1065 nucleotides. RefSeq lists it as uncharacterized. The record is from RefSeq and is marked validated. The transcript has 4 exons. Lineage: Eukaryota; Viridiplantae; Streptophyta; Magnoliopsida; Poales; Poaceae.